This 927-nucleotide long non-coding RNA is filed under the name Neodiprion pinetum (white pine sawfly). RNAcentral describes it as "uncharacterized LOC124220114". Lineage: Eukaryota; Metazoa; Arthropoda; Insecta; Hymenoptera; Diprionidae. The record is from RNAcentral.
CUGAUCGGUGGUUUACAGGCUGUAUCGGUCAGAAGUAAACAGUUAUUCCAAUGUCAAUGCAGGUCGAAAAUACUCGGCUGGGUAUAAUCGCUUAGCACGGCAUCGAUUUCUAUUUGCAAGUUGAGCAUGCAACGUGUUCGAAUGUUUCGUAAACGUCACACGACGCCGAUCGCAUUCCGCGUAAAAUAAUAAUCGUCUCCACAACACAGAAUGGCGUUAAACGUACAUCGAUCGAAUGAAAACUGAAAGUGCGACAGAAGUAAACAGAAAUCGUGCUCAGCGGUCGCGGUCGGGCGAGUUUUGUUGCGCUCGUCGUCGGUCUAAACUGUAUGAAAUUUUUCGUUGCCGGUGUUUCGAUCGUUGCGCCGAGCUGCAGCAUGCAACCGAUGAUCAAUCGCACGAAAGAAAACAUAACUCCGAUAAAGGUAGACGCUCUUCAUUUGUUCCAAACUCACCCGGGUUUCAGUAUCGAAAUCGGUUUAGCGACGCGAUUCUAGAAUAUUCGCACCGCGUCGUUCGGUCAGCGAGUGUCGAAUCUCAGUUCACUUCAGACCGCGACCGGUUGAGGAUCUCUGAUCCGUUUCCUCGUUUGCUGUGAAACUAAUUUCGCAGAAUAAUCGAAGUACGUGUUACGAUAAUUGCAGUGGCAGUGUUUGUGAAGCGAAGCGAAGCGAAGUGAAGUGAAGUGCAGCAGAUGGAUCUCUCUGGAAUUUCCGAUCUUUUUCAAGUGCAUCACUUCACGUGUCAGCGUGCUCCUCGUCUUUCGAGCCUCAAUCGACUUGUGCUAAUGGGGUAAGGGUAACACGAAAUUGACCAGCAAUUUCACACAACGACAAUAUUACAUGUUAUACAGGUACGUAUAUAUAUAUAAUGUAAAUAAGAUUUACAAAAUAUUUAAGCACGAUGCAAAAUUACUUGAGAUAUUUA